RNAcentral lists this long non-coding RNA (1929 nucleotides) under Malus domestica (apple). RNAcentral describes it as "long non-coding RNA (MDOM_LNC021153)". Lineage: Eukaryota; Viridiplantae; Streptophyta; Magnoliopsida; Rosales; Rosaceae. The record is from RNAcentral.
UUGUUUUCAUAUUGAGAUUUAAAGAAGCUUAGGAUCACAUUGUUAUGGCUAUUUCACACACAACACUCCAAGGAUAUUUGAGAAAUUAUUGCUAAUACUAGAAUAUUGUGGAUUCGCUUGCUUUAUGCUUAUUAAGGUUCUUGAUUAUUAUGUACACUUGAAUAAAAUGCUUUGAGGGUUAUGUAGGGGAAACUGAUUUUUUCCAUGUGACUUUUUGUUUUUGGUUUGGUGCUAGAGCAUGUUUUCUGUUGCUUGAAUUGCUAGAGACUGGCAAUAAGCUAGUUGGGGGUGUGAUAAUUGCUCAAAAGUGCAUGUCUAAUGCGCUUUGAUUAUACCCGUUACAUGUUUUUCUCUAGUAAUUUAUCAAAUUUGUGCUUUAUCAUCUAUAACUGGUCAAAUAGGUUUUAUAUCUAAUUUGUUUUAAUUUUUGACUGAUGUUAUAUUAAUGUUCAUGUGCAAGACUAAGAGAAUGUUGCAAGGAAAUUAAAGGGUGAGGCACAAGACAAUAAAUUGGUGAUUAACUCUAUGUCGGUUACCGAAAAGAAAUGAAGAAAGGAGAAGGCAAAGAAGAAGAAAAAGAAACGGCCAGCCAUUACCAUUUCAAUAUGGCAUUAAGGCUUAUCAAUGACCAUUAUUCAGAGGGUUAUGAGGAUUGGCAUUAACAUAUUAAUAAUGGGUUGAUGAAUGACCAUUAUUCAAGAAGAAUAUGAAGGGAGGUUGGAUGCAGCAGCAGCUUAUAUAAUCUCUAUUUGAUUGUUUUCAAAAGGCCCCGGCCUUUUCAUAAUUUUAGAUUUUUCUUUUUCUAUUUAGUUUAUGGAGAACUAAUCUCCCUAGCUAAGGCUAGGGGGAACCUAUAGUACGAGUAUGUAGUUUUAUUAUUUCGAUUCUAUUUCGGAGUUUUAAUGUCAAUUUUACAUUGUGGAUUUUCAACGGAAUUUCUUAUUUAUUCUAUUUUCGGAUUGAUGAAUGUUGGUUAUGAUUCAUAGGUUUAAUCAUGUUUUUCCUAUAGUUUUGUUUCACAUUCAUGCUUUUAGUGAAUUGAAUAAAUUAGUAGAUUGGUACGAUUUCAACGGAGUAAUUUCCUAAUAUUUUGUUGCCGUAGGUACAAAUUAUAUUUGGGAUUAUUUCUAUAAGAAAUUGAAUGGGCAUUUUGUUUUGAAUAUCUACAAUAAAAAUCACUUUUCAAGAAGUUUUAUAUGAGGAAAACUUAAUUGCUAUAUUUUUCGGUUGAGAUUACUUGUUGGUAUCUCAGUUGAGUUAUAAAAAGGAAUCGAAAUAGUGAAAUUGCAUAGUUGUAUGUGGGUGGAACCCUGAUGCUUUAGUAUUUAUAAUUGUUGAACUUUUUCUUCUAUAAGUUACAUCUCAUUCGAUAUUGUUCUUUGUUUCAGUCUUGAUAAUUCUGCAUUCUUUUUCAACACUCCUUGAGGAAUACAACACUCGGACUUCGAGUUUAUACUACUACGCGACACCUGCACUUGGGUUUAGCAAGCAAUGAGUAUAAAUUUACAAAAUUUGAUCCAAUUUUUCUAAUUUUUACAAAUUUCUGUUUGGUUGUUAAAUUUUAUUUUACCUCAUGUUCGAACUAUAAUUACUAGUUAGUAGUUAUGUAAGUUCCAAAGUCUAACCGUCAACAAAGAGUAAUGUUGGGUAAAUCAAAUUUGCAAAUCAUAUAACGUGUCACCAAUAAAAAAUAAUAAUGUUAGUCAAUACUUGUAAUAAUCCAAUCAUCCACCACAUUAUAUUGUUUACAAAAUUUGGUCUCCCUAGCAUUAGCCUUCAAUGAAUUAAUGUGUAUAUGUCAUUGCCAAUACUAUGUUUAAUUUUGUCCUCAUUCAUUGUUUAUACAUAUAUAUUAAGACUCGAAAGUAUGAUUAUGUUUUUAGUCCUAUAUUGACAUGGUAAUGAAAUAAGAAAAAUGUCACAUCCCGG